GGCUUCAUAGUUCAGUUAGUUAGAGCGUCGCAUCGCGAGGUCACGGGCUCAAACCCCGUUGAAGUCC
RNAcentral lists this transfer RNA (67 nucleotides) under Acropora cervicornis. RNAcentral describes it as "tRNA-OTHER". It matches the Rfam family "tRNA". From Rfam's summary of the family: Transfer RNA (tRNA) molecules are approximately 80 nucleotides in length. Their secondary structure includes four short double-helical elements and three loops (D, anti-codon, and T loops). Further hydrogen bonds mediate the characteristic L-shaped molecular structure. tRNAs have two regions of fundamental functional importance: the anti-codon, which is responsible for specific mRNA codon recognition, and the 3' end, to which the tRNAs corresponding amino acid is attached (by aminoacyl-tRNA synthetases). tRNAs cope with the degeneracy of the genetic code in two manners: having more than one tRNA (with a specific anti-codon) for a particular amino acid; and 'wobble' base-pairing, i.e. permitting non-standard base-pairing at the 3rd anti-codon position. The record is from RNAcentral. Lineage: Eukaryota; Metazoa; Cnidaria; Anthozoa; Scleractinia; Acroporidae.